Molecule: small RNA, 696 nt
Filed under: Pongo abelii (Sumatran orangutan)
Lineage: Eukaryota; Metazoa; Chordata; Mammalia; Primates; Hominidae
Description: processed transcript
Source: RNAcentral
GCGGCGGCGCGCGCUGCGGGCAGUGAGUGUGGAGGCGCGGACGCGCGGCGGAGCUGGAACUGCUGCAGCUGCUGCCGCCGCCGGAGGAACCUUGAUCCCCGUGCUCCGGACACCCCGGGCCUCGCCAUGGCUGACCAGCUGACUGAGGAGCAGAUCGCAGUUCAAGGAGGCCUUCUCCCUCUUUGACAAGGAUGGAGAUGGCACUAUCACCACCAAGGAGUUGGGGACAGUGAUGAGAUCCCUGGGACAGAACCCCACUGAAGCAGAGCUGCAGGAUAUGAUCAAUGAGGUGGAUGCAGAUGGGAACGGGACCAUUGACUUCCCGGAGUUCCUGACCAUGAUGGCCAGAAAGAUGAAGGACACAGACAGUGAGGAGGAGAUCCGAGAGGCGUUCCGUGUCUUUGACAAGGAUGGGAACGGCUACAUCAGCGCCGCAGAGCUGCGUCACGUAAUGACGAACCUGGGGGAGAAGCUGACCGAUGAGGAGGUGGAUGAGAUGAUCAGAGAGGCUGACAUCGAUGGAGAUGGCCAGGUCAAUUAUGAAGAGUUUGUACAGAUGAUGACUGCAAAGUGAAGGCCCCCCGGGCAGCUGGCGAUGCCCGUUCUCUAGAUCUCUCUGUUCUCGCGCGCGCACUCUCUCUUCAACACUCCCCUGCGUACCCCGGUUCUAGCAAACACCAAUUGAUUGACUGAGAA